AAAUCUCUCAAAGUCAAAGGGAGAUUGGAGUUUAGCCCCUUUUGGAACUUGCUGAUAGCUCGCUGUAUUGGUAGCACAAAAUAUCAGUUAUUUCAAAAUUUUAUUUUGAUAUGAUGCCAUCUGGUGUACAUAAAUUAUUAAUUAUUUAUGCUUAUUGCAUUAUCUUUAUCCCAUUAAAUUUUGAAGUUUGAGUAUUUGUUAUAUAAGCCAUGAUUAUUAAAAAAAUGAAUAUAUAAAUUUAUGAUGUUAGAUGCUCAGAUCUAUAUUUCUCUUUAUAUCCACUGGAAAGUCCAAGAAAAUUAAUGUUAUGCAACAAGAUUGGGAUUUUAAGUUUUAGUUUAGGUAUUUUGGCAUAUUUCGUAGUAUAUUAGUCGAAUACUAAUAUACUUCGACAGAAACAUGACUAAUAGCUUAGGUUGGUAAAGAUAACAUUCCAUAAAUCAUUUAUGAUUGCAGAUUAAGGGGAUUUAAAGUUCUCAGAAUGUGCUCCGUUUUCACUUAGCUGUAAAAAUCCAAGACAUCAUUCUUUGUGAAAGUCGUAAGUAAAAAGAAGGGGAAGCUAACUAACUUCUUAUUUAAGAAAAGUAGUUGAUGUGUGUCCUUGAAAUUUAUAGUAAUAACAUUCCUACACAUACUUUUAUAUCAACAUUUCCAGAAAUUUCUAUCUCAAAUACCACAAUAAAUUUGUCCACUGUGGGUGGCAAACACCAGUAGAAACAGACCUACGCACUACAUCUGUGGGAAUUUCCAUUCCAAAAUGAUCAGUCUGAAAUAUGCAGCCAUUGCUUUUCCUUCCUUCCAUCAUGCCAUCUUGUUUGCAAAGUAAAAGUCAAUUGCCACUUUGUGGUGAAAACUUGCAAAAAUACAUUAUGGACAUGAAGUGUGGAGGACUUUAAUGAAAUUAGCCCUUUCUCCUUUGUGUGACUGUCACCAACAAUGUUGUCUAGAGCUGGUUCACAUUCAGAUCAGCAACCCUCAAUACAGUAUAGUGCUGAUUGCUGCAUACCGUUCAUUGGAAAAAGUGUGUAUUUCAGAUAUGCUUUUUAAUGUCUACAUUUCCUCACCCAAAGAAGAAAAAGAUAUGUGAAUAUCCAGUGGACACUUUAUAGGAAAUGUUUUAAACCACAUCCAGACAUGCCUUGAAAGUCAGUGGAAUUCCCUAAGAUCUCAGGGUUUCUGGGAUGAUUUAUCAUCAGUGGUGACAUUAACACUCAGGUUUUCCUCUCUAAUUGCCAUUUUUUCUUAUUUCCAUCGUGAAAAUCUUUCUUUGUUGAAAGAGAAAGAUCAUCUUCAGUAACUGACAUAAAUUUUGAAAGAUCAAGCAUAUUGAAGUCUCUGGCACAGGAUAAAAAAGAAAUCCAGAUAAGUUACACAAGAUAAUUAGCACAAGAUUGUCAGUUUUAAAGCUGUACACAACAUGAACUCAGAACUUCUUUUUUAAGAAGAAAAACAUUUGAAUUAGUAUACUCUGUUGCAGCCAAUAGCUAUAUCUUAUUAAAUAUGUCCUGACAGUCCACUAGCUCUGUCCUAAAAAUGCAUUAGUUCAGCAAUUCAUAAUAGAGCCAGACCUAAAUGGAUAUCAGAAUUCUAUACAGACACGUAGAGAAUGUUUGAAUGUUGUUCAUCUUGGCCAUGUGGCAGUUAAAUGUUUGUCAAUAUUCUUUGAGGUUUUGCAUAUCACAGAUUUCUUUCCCCUAUCGAGGGCCAAAAUAUUGUGCAAGAGAAUAAUGCUAUAAAUGGGAUCAUUUUCAUAUAGGCAACUAAUUAGAGGUAAUCCCAUAAUUUACAAACAAAGAAAAGUUAAGAAUAUUUUUCAUAUUCAUAAUGUUUCUCAUCAAAAUGUUAUUCAUUAUAUCUUUCAUUACACAUCGUAUGUAUUUAAUUUCACAAAUUAAAAAGGCAUCUGAAAUGCAGUAUAUUUUUGUGUGUGUAGCUUUGCUUUUGUUCUUUUCUUUUAUUGGAAAUGCAGCCUUGCAACAUGUGCAUGAUUGUAGAUUUACAUAGUGUAAAAUUACUGUAAUUUUAUUUGUUCACUUCAGGAAGUCAGAAAGGGAUUUAAUACAUAGGAAAGAUUAAAUUAGGAACUAGUAUAAGGCAGAGUGUAUAUAUUUUGCAUUUUUAAAUAACCUUUUGUAACAAGAGAACCUAUUAUCGUACAGUAUACUAUAAUUCCACUUUCUAGUGAUACUCUUGCUAAUCGUCACAGUGUUGUCUUUGCAUAUUGAUAUGAAUAGUUUGUAUAUGUACACACUUCAAAAGUUAUUUCUAUAAUGGAAUAUGUGCUCCCUGUCAUUGUUAUUAACAUCCAACUGGAAAAAUAUUCACCAAUUAUUUUUUUUAUAAAUUAUGAAUGUACAGUGUAAAUUAGUAAAUCAAAUAUUGUAGCAAUGAAGAGAUGUACUUUAAAAAUGUAGAAGUGUUUAUCUCAAAGAGUGUUAUUUUGUAUAGAUGUUUUUGAAUAAAUAAUUUAUUGCUCAUC
Strigops habroptila (Kakapo) is the source of this 2479-nucleotide long non-coding RNA. NCBI's taxonomy places the organism in Eukaryota, Metazoa, Chordata, Aves, Psittaciformes, Psittacidae. The record is from Ensembl.